This 296-nucleotide ribosomal RNA is filed under the name Cyclophora tenuis. Its description in RNAcentral is "partial Bacterial large subunit ribosomal RNA". It matches the Rfam family "Bacterial large subunit ribosomal RNA", at positions 18 to 323 of the family's 2925-position model. Lineage: Eukaryota; Bacillariophyta; Fragilariophyceae; Cyclophorales; Cyclophoraceae. The record is from RNAcentral.
CACACGGUGGAUGCCUUGGCAGUUAGAGGCGAAGAAGGACGUAUGAGCCUGCGAAAAGCUUCGGGGAGUCGGCAAACAGACUUUGAUCCGGAGAUGUCUGAAUGGGGAAACCCACUUACCAUAAGGUAGGUAUUGCAACAUGAAUACAUAGUGUUGCAAGGCGAACGAGGGGAAGUGAAACAUCUCAGUACCCUUAGGAAAAGAAAUCAAUUGAGAUUCCCUCAGUAGCGGCGAGCGAAAGGGGAAGAGCCCAUUAAGUCAUAUAAGUUCUAGUGGAACGCUCUGGGAAGUGCGAC